UACGGAGGGUGCGAGCGUUGUCCGGAAUCAUUGGGCGUAAAGGGCGCGUAGGUGGCGCGGUCAGUUCGUGGUGAAAGCGCGGGGCUCAACCCUGCGUCGGCCAUGAAUACUGCCGCGGCUGGAGCACUGUAGAGGCAGGCGGAAUUCCGGGUGUAGCGGUGGAAUGCGUAGAGAUCCGGAAGAACACCGGUGGCGAAGGCGGCCUGCUGGGCAGUUGCUGACACUGAGGCGCGACAGCGUGGGGAGCAAACGGG
RNAcentral lists this ribosomal RNA (254 nucleotides) under uncultured bacterium. Its description in RNAcentral is "partial 16S ribosomal RNA". It matches the Rfam family "Bacterial small subunit ribosomal RNA", at positions 524 to 776 of the family's 1533-position model. The record is from RNAcentral.